AGAAUCAACGCUGGCGGCGUGCCUAACACAUGCAAGUCGCACGAGAAAGGGGAGCAAUCCCUGAGUACAGUGGCGCACGGGUGAGUAACACGUGAAUCAUCUACCUCCGAGUGGGGAAUAACUGAGAGAAAUCUUAGCUAAUACCGCAUAAUACCCACGGGUCAAAGCAGCAAUGCGCUUGGAGAGGAGUUCGCGGCAGAUUAGUUAGUUGGCGGGGUAAUGGCCCACCAAGACGAUGAUCUGUAUCCGGCCUGAGAGGGCGCACGGACACACUGGAACUGAAACACGGUCCAGACUCCUACGGGAGGCAGCAGUGGGGAAUUUUGCGCAAUGGGGAAACCCUGACGCAGCAACGCCGCGUGGAGGAUGAAGCCCCUUGGGGUGUAAACUCCUUUCGAUCGGGAAGAUAAUGACGGUACCGAUAUAAGAAGCCCCGGCUAACUUCGUGCCAGCAGCCGC
Molecule: ribosomal RNA, 459 nt
Filed under: uncultured bacterium
Lineage: Bacteria
Description: SSU rRNA
Rfam family: Bacterial small subunit ribosomal RNA
Source: RNAcentral